GGCUGUGGCUCAAUGGUAGAGAGCUCAGUCUCACAUGUAUGAGGCCCUGGGUUCAAUCCUCAGCACCA
RNAcentral lists this transfer RNA (68 nucleotides) under Marmota monax (woodchuck). RNAcentral's name for it is "tRNA.Val". Lineage: Eukaryota; Metazoa; Chordata; Mammalia; Rodentia; Sciuridae. The record is from RNAcentral.